RNAcentral lists this ribosomal RNA (724 nucleotides) under Entyloma arnoseridis. Its description in RNAcentral is "partial large subunit ribosomal RNA". It matches the Rfam family "Eukaryotic large subunit ribosomal RNA", at positions 36 to 746 of the family's 3401-position model. The record is from RNAcentral. Lineage: Eukaryota; Fungi; Basidiomycota; Exobasidiomycetes; Entylomatales; Entylomataceae.
CUGCAUAUCAAUAAGCGGAGGAAAAGAAACUAACAAGGAUUCCCUUAGUAACGGCGAGUGAAGCGGGAAGAGCUCAAAUUUGAAAGCUGUUGCCUUUGGUAACCGCAUUGUAAUCUCGAGAUCUGUUUUCCGCGCUGGACCAUGUACAAGUCCCUUGGAAUAGGGCGUCAUAGAGGGUGAGAAUCCCGUACUUGACAUGGCCUCCCAGUGCUUUGUGAUACAGGCUCAACGAGUCGAGUUGUUUGGGAAUGCAGCUCAAAAUGGGUGGUAAAUUCCAUCUAAAGCUAAAUAUUGGGGAGAGACCGAUAGCGAACAAGUACCGUGAGGGAAAGAUGAAAAGCACUUUGGAAAGAGAGUUAAACAGUACGUGAAAUUGUCAAAAGGGAACCGUUUAAAGUUAGUCAUGCUUGCCUGGACUCAGCCUUGCUUUUGCUUGGUGCAUUUCCAGGUUAGCAGGUCAGCAUCGGUUUUGACUGCUGGAUAAGGGUGAGAGGAAUGUGGCACCUUCGGGUGUGUUAUAGCCUUUCACUGGAUGCAGCAGUUGGGACCGAGGAACGCAGCGCGCCUUUAUGGCGGACCUUCGGGUACCUUCGCGCUUAGGAUGCUGGCAUAAUAGCUUUAAGCGACCCGUCUUGAAACACGGACCAAGGAGUCUAACAUGUCUGCGAGUCUUUGGGUGGCAAACCCAUAGGCGCAAUGAAAGUGAAUGCAGUGGGAUCCUCAC